UAUGGAAUCUUCGGCAAUGGACGAAAGUCUGACCGAGCAACGCCGCGUGAGUGAAGAAGGUUUUCGGAUCGUAAAACUCUGUUGUUAGAGAAGAACAAGGACGUUAGUAACUGAACGUCCCCUGACGGUAUCUAACCAGAAAGCCACGGCUAACUACGUGCCAGCAGCCGCGGUAAUACGUAGGUGGCAAGCGUUGUCCGGAUUUAUUGGGCGUAAAGCGAGCGCAGGCGGUUUCUUAAGUCUGAUGUGAAAGGCCCCGGCUCAACCGGGGAGGGUCAUUGGAAACUGGGAGACUUGAGUGCAGAAGAGGAGAGUGGAAUUCCAUGUGUAGCGGUGAAAUGCGUAGAUAUAUGGAGGAACACCAGUGGCGAAGGCGGCUCUCUGGUCUGUAACUGACGCUGAGGCUCGAAAGCGUGGGGAGCAAACAGG
RNAcentral lists this ribosomal RNA (429 nucleotides) under Gemmatimonadota bacterium. RNAcentral's name for it is "Gemmatimonadetes bacterium partial 16S ribosomal RNA". It matches the Rfam family "Bacterial small subunit ribosomal RNA", at positions 355 to 776 of the family's 1533-position model. The record is from RNAcentral. Lineage: Bacteria; Pseudomonadati; Gemmatimonadota.